CCUACGGGAGGCAGCAGUCGAGAAUCAUUCACAAUGGGGGAAACCCUGAUGGUGCGACGCCGCGUGGGGGAAUGAAGGUCUUCGGAUUGUAAACCCCUGUCAUGUGGGAGCAAAUUAAAAAGAUAGUACCACAAGAGGAAGAGACGGCUAACUCGGUGCCAGCAGCCGCGGGAAUACAGAGGUCUCAAGCGUUGUUCGGAAUCACUGGGCGUAAAGCGUGCGUAGGCUGUUUCGUAAGUCGUGUGUGAAAGGCGCGGGCUCAACCCGCGGACGACACAUGAUACUGCGAGACUAGAGUAAUGGAGGGGGAACCGGAAUUCUCGGUGUAGCAGUGAAAUGCGUAGAUAUCGAGAGGAACACUCGUGGCGAAGGCGGGUUCCUGGACAUUAACUGACGCUGAGGCACGAAGGCCAGGGGAGCGAAAGGGAUUAGAUACCCGGGUAGUC
Molecule: ribosomal RNA, 446 nt
Filed under: uncultured bacterium
Lineage: Bacteria
Description: partial 16S ribosomal RNA
Rfam family: Bacterial small subunit ribosomal RNA
Source: RNAcentral